CACUUCAAAUUUUAUUUCAAUCAUAGCCACUCUUUCAUUCAAUUCUAGCCAUUUUAAUUGCAAUUUUAGCCUUUCCAUAUAUUUUCCCAUCUGAUUUCAAGACUUCAGCUACUAAUCUCAUUCGUUCAUUUAAAUAUUUAAAUUCUAAUCGAAUCCUAACCCUAUAUCUCUAUCUAAUCUAACGGUUGGGAUCAACUUUUCCUAUCUCUCUCUUUUAACACCAAAAGAUCCAAAACCUAAAAAUUUUCUCCCUCUCUUCUCCUCACCCUUUAUCUGCCUACAUCUUCUCUCUCCCUUUCCCGGUAGCCGCCUCCCCUCUCCCGUCGCUCCUUCUCCCCUCUCUCUCUCUCCUCGGCGACCCCCCUCCUUCUCUUCUCUUCUUCCCCUCUUUCUCCCUCCAUUCUUCUCCUCUGCCCGCCUCUUACUCUUUUUCCGCUCUUCCCCUCUCUCUUGAGCAGCCGUCGCUCCUCCCUUCGCUCUCCUCGGUGACCCCCUCCUUCUCUCCUCUUCUCCCUCUCGUUUCCCUCUUCUUCCCGUCUUUAUCCCUCCGUUCUUCUCCUCUCUCUGCUUCCCUCUUCUAAACUCCCCCUCUUUCCCUCCUCUCUCCCCUCCCGUCUCUUCUCUUCCCCUUCCACUUCUCCUUUCUCUUUUUUUUUUGCAGGUGCCAGCAACUGUAGCAGUGAUACAGCAGCAGCCUACGAGAGAGACAGAAACACCACCAGCAAAAAAACAACGAGCUCCGACGGAGCCUCCUCUAUAAGAUUUCGAAGUUAUUUAAAACUGGUCUGUUACAGUUCCGUUCAGGGAUAGAAAUCUGAUUGAUAUUCACAAAAGUUGGUCUAUUUUUGCUUCAUGCUUUAAGGAAAAUUGGUCAAUUUUUACUACUUCAUGUUUAUGAUAAAAAUCUUUUUUAUUCUUUCUUGACAUUUUUACAUUGUUAAUUCGGCUUGAUAAUUGUUCCUCCAUAUCUAUCAGGAUCCCAUAAAUAUAAUAAUUUAGCUAAUUGCUUGGUCAAAUUGCGCUUUUGCUUUGAUUUAGAUUUAUGCGUAUUUUCUUUACUUACCCAUAAUUAAUUUAGUUUAAUUUAUUGGACCCUCUUGGUUAUGGUUAGUUUGAUUAACUAAUGGAAGAGUGUGCUACUUCUUUCCUUAUAUUUUCCUAUUUGUUAAUUAUAAUAUUGAUUGAUAGUAUAUAAAUUGUUUCCCUUUUCCUUUUUAAAAGAUAUAAUUAUUUUAUUUCCUUGUGGCUAAUAGUGUUUAAUUAUGGCAGCCCAACUCUUGCUUGCUCUUAUUUGGUAAAAAAUAACCUUACACUUGGUAAAAUAAAUACAUAAAAUAAAAAGUGAUAAAAUAUAUGAUUUGACUCUUCUUUAUUUAAGGGGAAAAUAAUAUUUCUCUUUCUAAUUUAUUCCUACCUGCUUAUAUUUGGAGGUGGUAUUUUUUUAUUUGGUUGAUUUGAAUCUCCUUUUGAGUAAGGAAAAUAGUAUAUUUAUUUAAUUCCUCAAAAUAUUCUUUUCCUUAUGUGUUCUCCCCUUUUUUACUAUAUAAAUAAGACUCCUUCCUUCAUUAUUUCACACUCUCACAUAUUGAUAUUCACUUUUUAAUACAAAUUCUCUCAUUACUCUAUACUCUCAUCUCCCACCUUGUUCAUACUUUAGAUAUUGCUCUCUAUUCUUGAAAAGAAAUAACAACUCUAGUUAGGCUUUGGAUCAUUCUUUCUUGUUGUAUUAUUGUUGUGAAUUGAAAACCUUACUAAAAUCCUUCAUUGCGGACAUAUAAUUUUGCAUAACCGGUUAGUACCUUCUAUUAGUUUAAUUUUUGCAUUGUUAGCUUUAUAUAUGUACCAUGUGAUAAGUGUUAUUCUUGCUAUCAUAUUUUAUGUGUUAUUACUUGCUCGUAUAUCUCGUAUGCUAAAUUGAAUAAAAAUGAGUUUAAUUUUUUAUUUAUUGUUAUCACCUAGUCUUCUACGUUUAAAUUAACUAAAAAAAUUAAUUGAUUAAUAUUAUGUCAUCACUUAGCAAGCAUAUCAAUAAAUAAUAAUGAAGUUACCUUGAUUGCUACUUGUAACCCCCACAUAGAUUGCAUGAGAUACAGUCGUUACCAAUAUUUGUGUACCUUGAGGGAUGCCUAACACCUUCCCCUUGAGGUAAUUUGAACUCUUACCCUGAUCUCUGGGUCGUUUACCUUAGCUAGACUUAGUUAAGUUAGAUAGGUGCCCUAACACGCCUCAAUUCGUUAGGUGGCGACUCCAAACUCAAAAUCUCAAAAGAGUUGUUAGGUCGUGCACAAAACUCGUUCUUAAUGAAAAAUAGGGGCGCGACAUCAUCUUACAAAGAUACCUAUGCCCUAUUACUUUUUCAUACUAUGAUGUCUCACAUAUAUCGUACCAUGACUUUUUUUCAAAGAAUGUAAUGAAAACAUUUGAUGUAGUAGCUUUCUUCCUAUAGUGAUUAUGCAAAACACCAUUUCACCUUGUAACCUAUUGUGAACGUUAAUGCCUUGUGUGUUGUAGUGAGUUUCAAAUUAAUAGUAUGAACCAACUUCAUCUAUGUUAGAAGGUAAGUUCAGGCAUAUAGUAAGAGUUAGCUCCUUUCUCAGUGUUCAAAUAAGGUUGACCAGCAUUCGAGGAGGAAUGACCCCAAAGCAAAAAUAUUGUUGUGUAUGCUUCUAUUCAUUUAAUUUUUAGUGUAUGUAAUGGUUUAUACUAGCUGAUAUUGCUCAGGUAAUUUGUGUUGUUAAAACGUCUAAUGACAAUCCUAAUAAAGAGCAUUGAUAAACGGUUAAGUGGAUACUUCCAUAUUUGAGAGAAAGCUUAGAUGAAUGCUUGUGUUUUUUAGGAUCAAAUUCAAUCUUAAACGGCUAUUGAUACCUAUUUACUCUUUCAAGGGCUAUAUCACCAUAAUCAAAGAAGAUGGGUUGAGUAUAUUGCAACUACUUAAGCUGGCAAAAAAAUGAUAUGACUCGAGAUAUACCUUCACGAACUUAGAUUGUGAUAGAUGGAGUAUGUUGUUUAUUGUGAUUAUAAGAGUGCAAUAAACUUAAGAAAGAAUUUGAUGUGCUAUGCAAGGACAAUAUACAUCAACGUGAGAUAUCAUAAAAUUUGUGAACAAAAUGGAGAGUGAAUUAUUUUAUUUAAAAUAAUUUCGCAUAAGUAAACAUCUUAUUGAUAUGUUAAUCAAAGUAAUACCGAAAGACAAGAUUAAGUUAUGCAAAGAACUUGUUGGCGCAGGAGGCUCUAUUUGAAAAGACAAAAAUAACCUUCUUGGGAUGCAUAUGACUAGAGGGAACGAUUUGUGGGGUCCGGACCAGAAUUAAGGGAAGAAAGUCUUCGUAGCAUAUUGCAAUGUACAAAGGAGCUCUUCAGCUCCUCAUUCAAAACACAUCAUUGAGAAAGGAUAUAUAGAGAGAGAGUGGUGAGUAUUUUAUCGAUUGCGAAAAAUUAGAGUGUAAGCGACAUUUUAAAAGAUGAAAAUUAAAAAGAAAUUAUUUAUUUUGAGUAUGCUAUGAACAUUUUGAGUAUUGUACUUGUCACUGCACAAAAUAUUUUAGCAUAGUAACAUCAGGUGCCUCUCUCCUGCC
Molecule: non-coding RNA, 3578 nt
Organism: Solanum lycopersicum (tomato)
Lineage: Eukaryota; Viridiplantae; Streptophyta; Magnoliopsida; Solanales; Solanaceae
Source: RefSeq, a predicted model, not a curated record